Oenanthe melanoleuca is the source of this 589-nucleotide long non-coding RNA. RefSeq lists it as uncharacterized. The record is from RefSeq and is a predicted model, not a curated record. The transcript has 3 exons. NCBI's taxonomy places the organism in Eukaryota, Metazoa, Chordata, Aves, Passeriformes, Muscicapidae.
CACACUUAGUGCCUGGGAAGGGUGGAGCAGAGCCCCAGUCCUGAGAGGCCGGGAAGGUGGGAGCAUGCGGGCAGGGGAGCUGGGUCUGCUGUCUUGUCACCUGGAGCGAGUCCGGGCUGAAACCAUCGAAAGACAAAGCAGGCAGAGGAGAGUUCGCUUGACAUGUAACCUUGAGCCCAAGAGAAAAGUGGAAGACUCAAAUCGGAGCAGAACUUGGGUUGAAGAACUUGUUGAACUUUCUUAUGGUCUUAAUUCAGCAUGGUUGUGGUGUUUUGAACACACUGUAAGCAGGUAGCUUCAUCAGAGAACGCAGCUCCUCUAAUGAUAAGUCUAAUGCGCAAGUUAUUUUCUUCCCAAGGCUAAAGGAAGACAUUAAAUGAUACUGUGGGAGACCAAAUACCACUUGAAACUCACGUUAGGAACCUGCCCUGCACAUCCUACAGUGUAGGUAGCUGGAGACACGCUAAUUCUGUGAGGAGCUGGUGAUUUAUAUAGACAACUACGAACUUUUACGCCAUCGCAGGGACAAUUGCAGUAACAUUCGGCAUCAUUAAAAAGUACUCAUAAAUGCUCACAUUCGGUGCAGUGG